RNAcentral lists this ribosomal RNA (253 nucleotides) under uncultured bacterium. RNAcentral's name for it is "partial 16S ribosomal RNA". It matches the Rfam family "Bacterial small subunit ribosomal RNA", at positions 524 to 776 of the family's 1533-position model. The record is from RNAcentral.
UACGUAGGGUGCAAGCGUUAAUCGGAAUUACUGGGCGUAAAGCGUGCGCAGGCGGUUAUGCAAGUCAGAUGUGAAAUCCCCGGGCUCAACCUGGGAACUGCAUUUGUGACUGCAUAGCUGGAGUGCGGCAGAGGGGGAUGGAAUUCCGCGUGUAGCAGUGAAAUGCGUAGAUAUGCGGAGGAACACCGAUGGCGAAGGCAAUCCCCUGGGCCUGCACUGACGCUCAUGCACGAAAGCGUGGGGAGCAAACAGG